UACGUAGGGUGCAAGCGUUAAUCGGAAUUACUGGGCGUAAAGCGUGCGCAGGCGGUUAUGCAAGACAGAUGUGAAAUCCCCGGGCUCAACCUGGGAACUGCAUUUGUGACUGCAUGACUUGAGUACGGUAGAGGGGGAUGGAAUUCCGCGUGUAGCAGUGAAAUGCGUAGAUAUGCGGAGGAACACCGAUGGCGAAGGCAAUCCCCUGGACCUGUACUGACGCUCAGGCACGAAAGCGUGGGGAGCAAACAGGAUUAGAAACCCCUGUAGUCC
This 273-nucleotide ribosomal RNA is filed under the name uncultured prokaryote. Its description in RNAcentral is "partial 16S ribosomal RNA". It matches the Rfam family "Bacterial small subunit ribosomal RNA", at positions 524 to 796 of the family's 1533-position model. The record is from RNAcentral.